This is a non-coding RNA of Gossypium hirsutum (cotton), 111 nucleotides long. NCBI's taxonomy places the organism in Eukaryota, Viridiplantae, Streptophyta, Magnoliopsida, Malvales, Malvaceae. The record is from Rfam.
GGGCACGAUCAUGCCAGCGCUACUGCACCGGAUCCCAUCAGAACUCCGCAGUUAAGUGUGCGAGGCGCAAGUGCGAUAAGGGGUAGCCUUUAUAUAAAUAGAUUGCGCAAG